CGGGGACGGGGUGGAGGUAAAUGCUUGGGAAUCUAGCUAUGAGGGGGAGUAACUACGGGAAACUGUAGCUAAUACCGCGUAAUAUCGAAAGAUUAAAGUGUGGGACCUUCGGGCCACAUGCCAUAGGAUGAGCCCAAGUGGGAUUAGGUAGUUGGUGAGGUAAAGGCUCACCAAGCCGACGAUCUCUAGCUGGUCUGAGAGGAUGACCAGCCACACUGGGACUGAGACACGGCCCAG
This 237-nucleotide ribosomal RNA is filed under the name uncultured bacterium. RNAcentral's name for it is "partial 16S ribosomal RNA". It matches the Rfam family "Bacterial small subunit ribosomal RNA", at positions 93 to 334 of the family's 1533-position model. The record is from RNAcentral.